UGAAUUCAAUAUCUUUGAACCUCUCAAAAGUUUCACAUUACUCCUUUUUCAAUUUUUCUACAUAAAUAUAUAUGAUGUGUGAAUUUUCAAUUUGACAAUUAGAUUCCGUAAAUUUUACCAAAUAAUUUAAUAGGUAUUUUUUUAAAAUUGAGAUUGCUAAAUAUAUAGUUAUUUUGAUCGUAUAUCUUACUCUAAUCUUGUAAAAUAAAACCAGAUGCCUAAAUACUAACUUUGGAAAACAGAAAAAAAAAAAAAAUUUGUUAGUUUUGAAGUCUUACAAGAUUUUGUACAUAGCAUAUGGUUAAAACUUUUUUAUAAUUACUAACUUUGGUUGACAAGCGACGCCCAUUAGUAGUUUCAAAUUUUUAUCAAAAUUUUACUUUCCAUUCGAUCCUUUUCAAAAAAAAAAAAAAAAAAAAAAAAAAAAAAAAAAAAAAAAAAAUCUUCUGUAAUAUAAUGUUAAAUUUAACUGAUGAAACAAAUAUCUGCACGUCGGAUUAACCUUUUUCUAAAUUAUGUAUGCAUUAACGACAUGAAGUAGGAAUUACCAUUUAGCAAAACAAGUAUUUAAAAUUGUUGGAACAAAGCUUAUUUUUAACUUACUAACUAUUAGUUUCUUGCUAAACAUAAACAUUGAUUUAAUAUCUGUGCUUAUCUUUUUAUUAAUAAAACGAUAAAGCCUUAGAAAGCAAUCUGCUUUAUGACAUCAAAUGAUGAACUAAUUAAACUUACUAACCUCCUCUGGGGGCAUAGACGGGCGAAAGGCCCGAAAGAAAAAGGCAGAGAACGAUAGCGAUACGAACGACGGCAAACAACAUACUUCUCCGACGACGGUCCGUCAGCUUCAUAGCAAUAUUCUUCAGUAUCUUUAUUUCUUGUGCUGUUGAUUUGAU
Molecule: long non-coding RNA, 893 nt
Filed under: Ananas comosus (pineapple)
Lineage: Eukaryota; Viridiplantae; Streptophyta; Magnoliopsida; Poales; Bromeliaceae
Description: long non-coding RNA (ACOM_LNC011569)
Source: RNAcentral